UUAUAGUUCAAAAAAAAGUUCAUAUGGUAAAACAAUUACAAAACAUCAAAUAUACGUUAUGAAAAUGGUCCAAGAGAGUAAUGAGUAAUAGUACUCACUACUCACUCCUCAACCUACUAUAUAGUCCGAAAGUUCAUUGGUUUCUAGUGUAUAUAUGGUAAGAUAAGUUCAGAAACAUCAAAUAAACGUAAUGAAAAUGGUCCAAGCGAGUGAUGAGUAAUAGUACUCAUAUCGGUUCAACAAGCCUCUCCUAUAUUAAACCGUGUCACUCCUCUUCACUAUCCCUACAUUUCUCAAUUAUUAAUAUCAUCACUCAAAGAACAAUUCUCAGCCUUAUUCUCUUAUUGCUUAUCCAUAAUGGGAGAGGUCCUUAAGAAGGAGGCGUACGGACUGGCUGUAAAAGACGAAUCUGGAGUUAUCUCGCCUUUCCAUUUCUCAAGAAGGGAGACAGGAGAAAAUGAUGUGAGGUUCAAAGUGUUGUUCUGUGGAAUUUGCCACACAGAUUUAAGCAUGGCCAUAAACGAGUGGGGGUUUACUAGUUACCCCCUUGUCCCCGGGUAAGACAACAUUUGGAUACUCAAAAGAUACUCAAAAUCAUAUCAAGAAUGGAA
This is a long non-coding RNA of Brassica oleracea var. oleracea, 611 nucleotides long. RefSeq lists it as uncharacterized. Lineage: Eukaryota; Viridiplantae; Streptophyta; Magnoliopsida; Brassicales; Brassicaceae. The transcript has 2 exons. The record is from RefSeq and is a predicted model, not a curated record.